This 366-nucleotide ribosomal RNA is filed under the name uncultured bacterium. Its description in RNAcentral is "bacterial SSU rRNA". It matches the Rfam family "Bacterial small subunit ribosomal RNA", at positions 29 to 410 of the family's 1533-position model. The record is from RNAcentral.
AGCGAACGCUAGCGGCGGGCCUAACACAUGCAAGUCGAGCGGGGGAGGCAAUCCCCACGCGGCGGGACGGGUGGAGUAACACGUAGGUUAUGUGCCCUUCGGUUGGGGAAGUAACCGUGGGAAACCAAUGGCUAAUUCCGCAUAUCGAGCGAAAUCUUGAAAGCCUUCGGGCGCCAAAGGAGCAACCUGCGGCCCAUUAGCUUGUUGGUAGGGUAACGGCCUACCAAGGCGAUGAUGGGUAGCUGGUCUGAGAGGAUGAUCAGCCACACUGGAACUGAGACACGGUCCAGACUCCUACGGGAGGCAGCAGUGGGGAAUAUUGCGCAAUGGGCGAAAGCCUGACGCAGCCACGCCGCGUGAGUGAUG